Molecule: small RNA, 158 nt
Filed under: Marmota monax (woodchuck)
Lineage: Eukaryota; Metazoa; Chordata; Mammalia; Rodentia; Sciuridae
Source: RNAcentral
GCCAAGUGUGGUGGCGCACACCUGUAAUCUCAGCAGCUCAGGAGGCUGAGACAGGAGGAUCUCUGGCUACUUUUGGGCCCUGUCAGAGUUCAAACCAAGUUCAAGGCCAGCCUCAGCAAAAGUGAGGCCCUAAGCAACUCAGGGAGACCCUGUCUCUG